This 153-nucleotide ribosomal RNA is filed under the name Mucor hiemalis. RNAcentral describes it as "5.8S ribosomal RNA". It matches the Rfam family "5.8S ribosomal RNA". Rfam says of the family: 5.8S ribosomal RNA (5.8S rRNA) is a component of the large subunit of the eukaryotic ribosome. It is transcribed by RNA polymerase I as part of the 45S precursor that also contains 18S and 28S rRNA. Lineage: Eukaryota; Fungi; Mucoromycota; Mucoromycetes; Mucorales; Mucoraceae. The record is from RNAcentral.
CAACUUUUAACAACGGAUCUCUUGGUUCUCGCAUCGAUGAAGAACGUAGCAAAGUGCGAUAACUAGUGUGAAUUGCAUAUUCAGUGAAUCAUCGAGUCUUUGAACGCAACUUGCGCUCAAUGGUAUUCCAUUGAGCACGCCUGUUUCAGUAUC